GUACCGUAAGAGCUUAAUGGGGUUAAUUACUUGUUAUGUACCGGUUGGUUUAACAAGAAUUCUUUCUUUGGCUUGCGCGAUAAUGAAAGGCUUCCAAAUAAUGACUAAAAGUUACCUAUGUUUUCUUACUGACGCAACUGAAACCAGCCUUUAACCUUGAAAAGUAUCACUGUAAGCUACUGCGACAAUUUUACUGACCCAGAAGCUAAACUUGUCUCGUUAAGUAUGCGACCACGAAAGUAUGUACCACACUCCUUCCUUAGAAUGACCAAGUAUGUGUGCGGCAACAAUGAGACAAAGUCUCAACAAAAAGGUUUAUAAAGCAAUUACAAAAAUUGCUAAGAGAUCUCAACAACAAAAAAUUAAUAAUCGAGCGAGCCUUUAUAAAGUGCAAGAACUUACUCAAAAUUGACGAAGUAAGGUCUCCGUUAUUAUUUCGCCAACAGGCAGGGUCCUUCCAAACCGCUUAUAAGAUAUUAUAAACUAAAUCCAAGUACUAAUUUUAAAUAAACCAGGUUUGGAUUAAAUUUGAAGGUUCUUCGUUGUCGUCUCGUAAGUCACCACCAUGGCGGCAAAUACCGCCGGACCAUGAUAUGAUGCCCAAUUCACUAACAUUGCGCACCUACAUUACUUAAGUCAACACACUUAGACUACAAAAAAUAUAGAAAAUAGAAAAUUUCUUACACGUUUA
Molecule: non-coding RNA, 691 nt
Organism: Schizosaccharomyces pombe (fission yeast)
Lineage: Eukaryota; Fungi; Ascomycota; Schizosaccharomycetes; Schizosaccharomycetales; Schizosaccharomycetaceae
Source: the annotation of a GenBank genome assembly